RNAcentral lists this ribosomal RNA (443 nucleotides) under uncultured bacterium. Its description in RNAcentral is "partial 16S ribosomal RNA". It matches the Rfam family "Bacterial small subunit ribosomal RNA", at positions 338 to 795 of the family's 1533-position model. The record is from RNAcentral.
CCUACGGGUGGCAGCAGUGGGGAAUAUUGGGCAAUGGGCGCAAGCCUGACCCAGCAACGCCGCGUGAAGGAAGAAGGCUUUCGGGUUGUAAACUUCUUUUCUCAGGGACGAAGCAAGUGACGGUACCUGAGGAAUAAGCCACGGCUAACUACGUGCCAGCAGCCGCGGUAAUACGUAGGUGGCAAGCGUUAUCCGGAUUUACUGGGUGUAAAGGGCGUGUAGGCGGGAAAGCAAGUCAGAUGUGAAAACCAUGGGCUCAACCUGUGGCCUGCAGUUGAAACUGUUUGUCUUGAGUACUGGAGAGGCAGGCGGAAUGCCUAGUGUAGCGGUGAAAUGCGUAGAGAUUAGGAGGAACACCAGUGGCGAAGGCAGUCUGCUGGACAGCAACUGACGCUGAGGCGCGAAAGCGUGGGGAGCAAACAGGAUUAGAUACCCGUGUAGUC